Molecule: ribosomal RNA, 184 nt
Filed under: uncultured bacterium
Lineage: Bacteria
Description: partial 16S ribosomal RNA
Rfam family: Bacterial small subunit ribosomal RNA
Source: RNAcentral
ACCAUGAAGUUGGAGUUGCUAGUAAUCGCGGAUCAGCAUGUCGCGGUGAAUACGUUCCCGGGUCUUGUACACACCGCCCGUCACACCAUGGGAGCUGGUAACACCCGAAGUCAGUAGUCUAACCGCAAGGAGGACGCUGCCGAAGGUGGGAUUAGCGACUGGGGUGAAGUCGUAACAAGGUAUC